This is a non-coding RNA of Oryza nivara, 196 nucleotides long. The record is from Rfam. NCBI's taxonomy places the organism in Eukaryota, Viridiplantae, Streptophyta, Magnoliopsida, Poales, Poaceae.
CCUCCGUGUUAAAAAAAAUCUUAUGUCCAGUUUUAAUCAUCUGUUUUAAUUGUUUUAAAAAAAUUAUAGAACAUAAAUCACGCAUAAAGUAUUAUUCAUAUUUAUAAUCUAACAAUAAUAAAAUAUUAAUCAUUAAAAAAAUUCAUAUAAGACGGACGAUCAAAAUUGGACACGGAAACUUAUAGAUGCGUUUAGU